CUAGGAUGAACGCUAGCGACAGGCUAACACAUGCAAGUCGAGGGGCAGCAUAAAAGUAGCAAUACUUGGUGGCGACCGGCGCACGGGUGAGUAACGCGUAUGCAACCUACCUAUCAGAGGGAAUAACCCGGCGAAAGUCGGACUAAUACCGCAUAAAACAGGGGCACCGCAUGGUGAUAUUUGUUAAAGAAAUUCGCUGAUAGAUGGGCAUGCGUUCCAUUAGGUAGUUGGUGAGGUAACGGCUCACCAAGCCGACGAUGGAUAGGGGAACUGAGAGGUUGGUCCCCCACACUGGUACUGAGACACGGACCAGACUCCUACGGGAGGCAGCAGUGAGGAAUAUUGGUCAAUGGGCGGGAGCCUGAACCAGCCAAGUCGCGUGAAGGAAGAAAAGGAUCUAUGGUUCGUAAACUUCUUUUGCAGGGGAAUAGAGUGCAGGACGUGUCCUGUUUUGUAUGUACCCUGAGAAUAAGGAUCGGCUAACUCCGUGCCAGCAGCAGC
Molecule: ribosomal RNA, 501 nt
Filed under: uncultured bacterium
Lineage: Bacteria
Description: bacterial SSU rRNA
Rfam family: Bacterial small subunit ribosomal RNA
Source: RNAcentral